This is a long non-coding RNA of Xiphias gladius (swordfish), 645 nucleotides long. RefSeq lists it as uncharacterized. Lineage: Eukaryota; Metazoa; Chordata; Actinopteri; Istiophoriformes; Xiphiidae. The transcript is spliced from 3 exons. The record is from RefSeq and is a predicted model, not a curated record.
AAAAAAGAUGAUACCAAAGAUGAAAAAUAAAUAAAUUAAAGAUGGAGAUGCAACAACGUCCACCUUCGUUCGAUAUUUGAAGUUGCAAAAAGAAUGAUCCAGUCUACCUCAAAGCAGCUGCCUUGGAUCCAACCUUUUCUCUGAUUUGGGUGGAGCACCUUGUGCUGGUCAGUCGUGAGGUCAAUAGAGAGGUGGCACAACGAGUGAAAGAUGUUUUGCCAGAACUCAUCCUGCAAAAUGCCGCAAAGGCUGAGCAACCUGUGCCUCUUGUUGAUGAGGAAGAGUGAGAGGAAAAGGGAAGAGCUGUUUGUACCGCAAGAGGGAGAAGAGGCAUGUUGGGAAUACUUCCGGCACUACAGCUAAUUCGCUACCUUGACAUAUCCUAAGGUCAGAACGCCCUCUUGUUCUAGGCAAUGAACAAGAAGGCUCUUCUUUCACUGUUCUGAGUGGCCCGUCACGAUCUUGUGAUCCGGCUGAGUGAGUUUUCAGCCAUGGUGGCAUCAUACUGUGGCCCCAUCAGUUUGGAGACUUUUGGCUACUUUGGUCUUUUGCAAAUACAUUGCAUCAUAGGGUCAUUCACACACACAACCCUGUUUGUGAAUGAAACCGUUUAUUCAUUUGUUACGUUUAUGCAACUGUAAUGUU